UACGUAGGGUGCAAGCGUUGUCCGGAAUUAUUGGGCGUAAAGAGCUCGUAGGCGGUCUGUCGCGUCGGCUGUGAAAACCCGCGGCUCAACUGCGGGCCUGCAGUCGAUACGGGCAGGCUAGAGUUCGGUAGGGGAGACUGGAAUUCCUGGUGUAGCGGUGGAAUGCGCAGAUAUCAGGAGGAACACCUGCGGCGAAGGCGGGUUGCUGGGCUGACACUGACGCUGAAGCGCGAAAGCUAGGGGAGCGAACGGG
RNAcentral lists this ribosomal RNA (253 nucleotides) under uncultured bacterium. RNAcentral describes it as "partial 16S ribosomal RNA". It matches the Rfam family "Bacterial small subunit ribosomal RNA", at positions 524 to 776 of the family's 1533-position model. The record is from RNAcentral.